CUCCACUCGGUGCCCCUCUGCGAAGCGGAGCCAGAGGUCGAACUUGGGGCGGUGGGCCUUCUCGUACUUGAAGCCGGUGACGUGGAACCUCUUCACCGUGGGGGAGAUGCACUGUAUCAGGACGCUGUCGAUGAGGGACGAGAAGUCCAGGGUACUGCGAAGCCGGGCUAAAAUCUCUCCAUUGAAGACCAGGUCGGUGGCGGUGGUCCAAGUGGGCCGCCAGCGCUUGGAGAGGACGCUGGUCUUGACGACGUCUUGGAGGGGCAGAAACGAGAAGAUGCGGUGGAUCACAGCGUCCGGCAAGGCGCUGAUGAGAUCCCUAGGGCUCAAAGGAGUAGGCGGUGGUGGGUUUGGUUCGUCGGCUCGAUUCGGCCGGUCACUGGAGGAUUUGCGGUGGACGGAGGUCUCCGCCAUGGGAUACAAAUCCCGUGAUUUCUGCCAAUUUUCCCCGAGUUUCGAAGGCUCUAUCGCAGCGUUUUUUCACUACUAUUAUGGCCCUCGUAAGUCCCGCUUUGCUUUUCCACGGAAUGUUGCCCCCUUUUUUGUCUGGGUCCGUAGCGUCCCGUUCCUUUUCUCUCUCUUCUCCCUUUUCUCCUGGAUCCUAUUUUCCUUUCCUCUCCUUUACUUUUGAUACUGUCGAGAUUGUCUUCCUUCCCAUAGAAGCUCUGACCAUUGCCGUCACUGAAGGGCCUUUGCUACACAGGCGUCGCCAGGAAAGUGUCUCGCCUCCGCUCAUUACCACCACCGCUGUCUUCUCUCCUUAGACCUUCAGUCUUGUUGUGCCCUUCUCCAUCGCUCGUCUUCGCUUCGCUUCUGUUUCCUUCGUCUCCUCGGGUGUUGCUCGAAUUGCCGGAGAGUUUCUGGCUAGAGCAAAGCCUAUGAACCCCAGCAUCACCGUCAGGCCUUCAAACAGGUACGGCACGGGAGAGUGCCCCGGCGACCGGCAUAAGGCCAUUGGCAGGCCAGUGCUAAAGCGAUAAAUGGAAAUAGGGAGCACAGAGGGACAUACCUACAAGAGAGAACGAUAAAGAAGAAGAAAGAAAAUGGGACCAAAGAGAAAAGAGUGAGAAGAAACAUACGGAAUGCCAUAGACCUGACGAAAAAAAAGGAACUUAAAAAAAGAAAAGGCGGGACUCAGAUUAAUAUUGUCAACAGUGGAAAAAGUGCCGCCCUUAACUUUUUACUUUUCUAUUUACACAAUAAUCAUAACUGAUGGACUGAGAUCUGAGCGAGAGCAGUUAAAGUAAACUUUGGAAUAAUUUGGCCUCUUUAUCGAGCAUAGUUUUUCUUUUGUGCUUUUUCUUUUCCAAUUUUCACGGAAAUUUUGUUUCGUGACCAAGGUGAUCAACGGUCAAUCAGUUUCCUUUGUACAGUCAAGUCAAUUUGGCAUCGUGUAUUAAGCAAAAUUCUUUCUUGAUGCCACGUGGCGUUCAAUUUAAAGGAGAAAAUAGAGAAAAAUAGAGGGAUAAACUCAUUUGAAGCUUAAUUGUUUCAACAAAAUAAAUAUUAUCGAAAGCAAAAAAUGGAAGCCCAGAAGCCACGCCCCUACUAAGAAAAAGAACAACCAAACACCCAUCAAGAUAAAACGAAAGAUUACGAACCAUUUGAUGCCUUUAAGAAAGUUGCUCGGCUUUAAUCAAUUCUGAACUGUUUGUCAAAAUGAUAGGCUCUUUAAGGAGGAACAUCGAGCUGAAUCGCAGCAACACGGGCCAUGAAUAACACGGAAUCUCAGAAGAAAUGCGGAAAAAAGAAAUUAAUUUGAUAAUAGGAUAAUCUAAGUAUAACAUCCAGAAGUUGAAUUUUUCUGAAUCAAUUUUAAUUUUAUGAUGGUUAGUUCCUAAUAUCAUAUAAUAUUGCAUCGAUUUCAAUUCAUGUGGUGUUAAAAGAUUAUAUAAAUCAUAGACAACUUGACGAUUGUGGAGCAUGAAUUCUUAGUCACCGGUCACGGACUAUUAACAGUUUUUGAAAUGAAUUAUACUUAUAAAUUUCGAUGAAAAUUUCUUUAAUUAAUUAUCAUAAUUAAAAUCCGCAAGCUUGAAUUUUUCUUAAUCAGUUUUAACUUAAAUCCUAAUAUCAUAUCAUAUUGCAUUGAUUUCUAUUCUUGUUAUGUUGAAGAUUAUAAGUCAUAGAAAACUUGAUGAUUGUGGAACAAGAAUUCUUAGAUACUGGUAGAGUACUAUUAACAGUUUUUGAAAUGAAUUAAAUUACUUUAAUUAAUUAUGAUAACUAAAAUCUUGGUUAUUUUAGUUUGAAAAUUGAGUUAUCUUAUAAUUCAAAUUUCAUUUUAGUGUAAAUUGGACAAAUUAAUUCUAGUUGGUUGAUAAUAUACUAAGCAUCGCACUUCCUUUAAUAUAAAUCACAUGUUUGUGAAGCACAUUGCGAUAAAAUCUGAACUAAGAAAUUGAAAAAUAUAUGUUUCGAUAUUACAUAAUUUACAUAUUUUUAUAUGUUUCAAGUGUUUCAUACUUAAUAAUAAACCAAAUUAUCUUGCCCUUUGUCGUCCUCUGUGAACUUAUUAGCUUAUGCCCAAAGCUUGUUUCAUUUUAUGAAGACCUUUCCAAUAAGAAACAAUUCGACCAAAAAAAAAAAAAAAAGAAACAACAAAAGAAUGUUCUAUAUCGUGCGCAAAUGCAUAAUACCUCUAGGAUCCUUCUGUUUGAGGCAGAGAGUAACCAUAAUCGAGGUUUAAUUCGACUUUCAUGGAUGUCGAACUUGAACAGAUCUUUAUAACCCUAAUUCGACCAAAAUUGUAAUCAGACUAAAGCAAAUCAUUUUUCGACUCCAACCGAAAUAAAUGAUGGGAUUUUUUUUCUUUAUAUGUGCUAUUUGUUACAAAUUUCAUGAACUUACGAGUUCCCACAAACAUUACUUGAUUUAGCGGUUUGUUUUGGUUGUCGAAGAGUUGAACCUAAUUGGACCAUGAAAUACAGUUUAGGUCCAUUUGGAAAUGUUUUUAUCGGGAAAGAAAUGCCAUUGAACCAAAUUAAACCAUAAAAAAAAGUUGAUGUUAAAAUUCGAGUUCAUCUUCAUUUGGGCAGCAAAGGAGUACCUCAUGUUAGCGCCUCUGAUCAAAUGCAACCGAAGGAGUUCCUUGCUUAAUCAUGAAUUUUCAGACAGCGCAAGUACUUGCUUCCCUUGGAAACAGAGGGUUGUGCUGAAACUAAAAUCAAAUUGGAAUGAUGUCCAUGCGGUUUCGCACAAAUACAUGAAGACUUCGCUUAGUCUUCCAAGAGUGCAGAUAAAGAAAAUUAUCUUGACCAAACACCCUUCAUAUGCUGAUAAUCAAAAAUACUAACAUUAACCUCAUUCCUUAAGGAGGUUCAUAUUUACAACUAUACUAAACUUGACAGAAGUGUAGAUUAGGUACAUGUUAAAACCUGAAAGUGUAGAUAAAAAUGAGUAGUGUAGUGCCCAAGGCAAAGUAUGCCUGCCAUUAGAUUAACAAGAAACCCAGAUUUUCAUAUGCUUUAAGAAGGACACCUAUUUGAAAGAGUGGCUGAAGAUAACUUCAGCAUUUCUGGAAGCUCUUCGAUAGCUGAGCAUAUUUUGGCUCACAACAAGUAGUUUCGAAAGAAUAGUGGCUCGAACAUGUUCUUGUCCAUGUCCCAUGUUCAAAUUAGCCUUGAUAAUCAUCUUCUCCAGUGCAAGUGCAUACCAAGAAGAAACUUAAUCAGGGCAAGCAGACGUUCCAACCCAAAAUUAUCAAUGGUGAUCUCAACUCUCUUGAGAUGUUUCGCCAAGCAUUGAAAUUUCCCCUUUCGUGAACACAAAAAAUCUUCUUCAUCAUAGUUAAAACUUUCUUUCGAUUCUUCGUCAAGACUAUACUGCACAUAGAUACCUCAUUUAAGAAACUUACUUCACAUCACAUGCGGAUCCAUAGAAAAUAGAAUUUGUUGCCUUACCAAAAUUUCAAAAAAACAAAAACAUUUCAUUUAUCCACGGUAGGUGCUAGUUAGUUUUACUUUAUUUUAAGUACUAAAGAAUUUGAACUUUUAAACUCAUAUACACAAUAAUACUAUCUUUCUUUCUAGGUGCUCAUCGCUAAUUUGUUAGUUCAAGGUCCAAACCCUACAUGGCAGCCAAAGAAUCUCCAGUAUAACACUGCAAUUACUUUUGGACAUGAACUGAAACGGUCUAAAUUGGCCUUGCAAAAAAGUGGAGUAGACUAACAGACUCAUGACCAAAUUUCAUUUGCUGGAACAAAUAAGAGUUUGACAUUUAUCAUUUUUACAUGCUUCUAAAGUUUUAACUCACUUUUUAAACAUUCAUGCAAAGAGGAAGCCAGCACAAGAAGCGAACUUAAAAUAAUAUAGCAAAGGAACAAACCAUUGAUAGGGGGAGGCCAGUCAGGCAUAUGACUAAUUUUUCCAGGCACUGUGAAAUUCGUAGCAUGUAUGCUAUCCCAAGAAGGUCCCACUGAAUAAUGUCUACAUGUAGAGUCAGACUCUGACAUAUUGACAAUGGCGCUGGCACUCCUUCCAUCUCCAAAAGGGAAAGUUUCUAAGCACAUUGAGCAAGCAACAUAGAAAAUUUUGAUUAUAAUAUUUCCUGUUCAACAUAAAUAAAGAAUGACAAAAAUUAUUGUCCAUCCAGAUUUUGACCCUGUCUUUUGGCUAGGAAAAGACCAAUAAGGAUACUACAAGUAGAAAUGAACCGGUGAAUCUCUUUAAGAAUCAAGAAUAUUAAUGUAUACUUCUCGUGUAAAAUUUGUGAUCUUUGAAGGAUCUAAAAAUUCUAAUAGUUGGUCCCACGAGACAUUGAACCUCGUUAUUGACUAAAGUUUGCAAGUGAAUCCAUCCAUUGUCAAUGUAAAAUAUUUUGAGAAUACUCUGUAAUAUAUAUUAUUGAACAACAGCCAUAUGUGACGAGAGUGCGAUCUUGUUCUGCCAACCUAAGAUGACUGGGUUCAUUACUCUGUCAUAUAUUCAAAUAAAUGAAUUUUCUCCAUAAACUGAAAGAAUGAAAUGAAAAGGUAACCAUUUUGAAUAAUCUCUUUAUGCAUUUUUCUUGUGAAAAUCAAGAGUUUGCUGUGCUACAUUGAUUAGCAUCCAUAAUAAUUAGCAAUAUCUAGUGGCAUCCAUUGUUCCCAAUUGAGUGAUCCCAAAUAUAUUAUUGGAAAUUAAACAGAGGGAAGAAGCUCCAAGGUUCACUAUGCGUUGUCAUCUUUAUAAGUUGAAACACGAAAUUAUUAAUCAUCCUAUCUGCCAGCAAUUAAUUAUGCAUGUUUUCACAAUAAUUCCCCAUGAUGAAAGACGAGAACCACAGAGAGCUGAGGUUACUCGACCAGCACAACAAAAACCACUAAAUAAGUGCUAAUCACAUACACGAUUCAACACGAGUACGUCUUAUAAAAUGGUAAAAAAUAUGGAGCUUGUACCUGAAAACACCAAGCCCCAAUGGUGAUUGUAGUAACUCCGCGCAGCUUCUGAAGGGUUUCCUUCAACAUGUGGCUGCACAUCAUCUCGUCACAAGGCAAAUCGGUAAGAACUCGAAUCGAAAAAUCUAACUUGGCUUCCACCAAAGAAGAUACAUCGCUAAGUCUUAACAUGGCAUGAGGUUGCCAAUCCCCUGAUAUUCGCAGCGACAGCAAAUGCGGGCCCCAAAUUGUCUGAAUGUUAGAGUCGCAUAAGCCAAUGAGUACCAACUCUUUCACACUUGUGGAAUUUAUCAUCAUGUUCUUUGUGCCCCAACAACCCCACAAUUCAAGGGACUCUAGAACAGGGCAUCCCCUGAAAAUUCCCUCGAGGAUAUCAUCGCUCAACCUUGAAAUUGCGAUCACCAAGAUCUUAAGACAAGGCCACCUAAUAGUCCUAUCCAACGAGAAACUGCACACCGAGACUUCAAGGCGCACCAACCAACUCCAGCAAUACAAGAACCGCGGCAGUAUAUAAGGCGUCGGCGGCCCAGUAGUCGGCACUAGCAGCAGGCUGAGCUCCUCCACUCGGUGCCCCUCUGCAAAGCGGAGCCAGAGGUCGAACUUGGGGCGGUGGGUCUUCUCGUACUCGAAGCCGAUGACGGAGAACUUCUUCACUGUGGGGGAGGUGUACUGUAUCAGGACGCUGUCGACGAGGGACGGGAAGUCCAAGGUACUGCGAAGCCGGGCUACAAUCUCUCCAUCGAAGACCAGGUCGGUGGCGGUGGUCCAAGUGGGCCGCCAGCGCUUGGAGAGGACGCUAGCCUUGACGACGUCUUGGAGGGGCAGAAACGAGAAGAUGCGGUGGAUCACAGCGUCCGGCAAGGCGCUGAUGAGAUCCCUAGGGCUCAAAGGAGGAGGUAGAGGUGGGUUUGUUUUGUCGGUGCGAUUCGGCCGGUUGCCAGAGGAUUUGCGGUGGAUGGAGGUCUCCGCCAUGCCUAUUUUCCCCGAGUUUCGAAGGCUCGAUCGCAGCGUUUUUUUCCUACUAUUAUAGCCUUCGUAAGUCCCGCUUUGCUUCUCCACGAAGUGCUGUCCUCUUUUCUUGUUUUGGUCGGUAGUGUCCCGUUCCUUUUCCUCUCUCUCUUUUUCUCUCUUUGCUCCCUGGUCCCAUUUUCCUUUCCUCUUCUUUACUUUUGACUCUGUCGAGAUUGUCUUCCUUUGCAUCGAAGCUCCGACCAUCGCCAUCGCUGUCGCCUUUCGAAGGGCCUAUGCUACACAUGCAUUGCUAGGAAAGUGUCUCCUCUCCAGUCAUCACCGCCGCUAUCUUCUCUCCUAGGGAUGUGCAUGGUUCGGGCGGGUGGUUUCAACCACCCGCCGCUAAGGAUCGGUUCCGAAAAAUUAGAAUCGAGAUCUACCCGUUUGUUACAUGGAUCCACCCGGGAACUGGACCGUCGGUCCGGUCCGGUUCCUAGGUAGAUCCAUGGAACCGAUCUUGACACAAAAUAAUUUUAGUUUUCAACGUAGAACGACUACAUGAUAUCAAAGCAAGCCAAAGAAAGAAAAACCAAAUUUAAGUAUGUGGAGAUACGGAUGGUGAGAGAAGUAAACGCAGCAAAAUGGUGAUAGGAUUAGGAGCCGAAGACGAAGGGAGUGAGAUGAGAUCUAGGGUUUCUUUUAGUAAUUUUUUUUUUAAUAUUAAAAAAGUUCCGAUCCAGUCCAGGUGGGCGGGCAGGCGGGCGGAUCCGUCCAUGAAACCAGGAACCAAUCGGUACCCACGGGUUCCCAUAAAUUGGAACCGAGAAUUGGACCGGUUCCCUCAAGAACCGUCGAUUCUGGGCUGUUCCGGUCCGGUUCCGGGUGGUUCGGGCGGUUCCCGAGUAUUUUGCACACUCCUACUUACACCUACAGUCUUGUCUUGAUGUGCCCUUUUCCAUUGCUCGUCUUUGCUUCACUUCUGUUUCCUUCCUCUCCUUGGGUGUUGCUCAAAUUGCCGGAGAGUUUUCAGGUAGAGCAAAGCCUAUGAGCCCCAGCAUUGCCGUCGGGCCUUCACGCAGGUACGGCACGGGAGAGUGCCCCGGCGAUCGGCAUAUUGGCAGGCCAGAGCUAAAGCGAUAAAUGGAAAUAGGGAGCAGGGAAGGACAUGCCUACGAGAGAGAAUGAUAAAGAAGAAAGAAAAUGGGUCCAAAGUUAAAAGAGUGAGAAGAGGAUAUACGAAAUGCCAUAGACCUGACGAAAAAAAGGAACUUAAAAAACAAAAAAAGGCGCGACUCAGAUUAAUAUGUCAACAGUGGAAAAAGUGCCGCCCUUUACUUUUUACUUUUUUUAUUUACACGAUAAUUUGAUCUCUUUUAACGAGCAUAGUUUUUCUUUUGGGAAAAAGUCACGAAAAACUUUGAACUUUGCCCAAAGUGACAUAUUUAUCGCAAACUUUUUUUUUUGUGAUAGUGAAAAACUCCAAAUUUUUUCAAAUUGUGACACAUUUACCCAAUCAAUGGCAUUUUUGUCUUUUUAUUCUAUUUUUUCCUUUUUAUUCUAUUUUUUUUCUUUUUUUCUUCUUCUUCCCUCCGCCUGUCAUGGCGAAGCUGACGGAGGUAAGCCGGCGAUCGGCAAGGGCACCCCUCCCCAGAUUUGGCGAGGGUUGUCCUCGCUAGACGCAGGCGAGGGCCUCUGUCGCCGACGUCGGGCGAGGGCAAGGACACCCUCGCCCGAUGCAAGUGAGGGCGACCCUCGCCAGCGACGGGCGAGGAUGACCCUCGCUAGAUCUGGUGAGGGCAAGGACACCCUCGCUCGACGCAGGCGAGGUCGGCCCUCGCCGACGACGGGCGAGGACGGCAGGGACACCCUCGCUCGACAUAGGCAAGGGCAGCCCUCGCCCGACACUAGCGAGGGACCCUCGCCCGAUGCUGGCGAGGGCAGCUCUCGCCGGACACCGGCUGUCCUUCGUCGGUUGGGGAAGAGAGAAGAAAAAAAAAAGGAAAAAAUUUUUAAAAAUGAAAAGACCAAAAUGCCCUAUAAUUUUGGGGUAAAUGUGUCACAUAACAAAAGUUUAGGGUUUUUCACGUCACAAAAAAAAAAAUUGUCACUUUGGACAAAGUUCAGGAUUUUUCGUGGCUUUUUCCCCUUUACUUUUCCAAUUUCAAUAGAAAUUUUGUUUCGUGACCAAGUGAGUGAUCAACGGUCAAUCAGUUUCCUUUGUACGGUCAAGUCAAUUUGGCUUCGUGUAUUAAGCAAAAUUCUUUCAUGAUGCUAUGUGGCGUUCAAUUUAAAGGAGAAAAUAGAGAAAAAUAGAGCGAUAAGCUCAUUUGAAGCUUAAUUGGUCCAGCAAAAUAAAUAUUAUCGAAAGUAAAAAAUGGAAGCCCAGAAGCCACGCCUCUACUAAGAAAAAGAACAACCAAACACCCAUCAAGGUAAAACGAAAGAUUACGCACCAUUUGAUGCCUUUAAGAAAGUUGCUCGGCUUUGAUCAAUUCUGAACUCUUUGUCAAAAUGAUAGGCUCUUUAAGGAGGGACAUCGAGCUGAAUUGCAGGCCAUGAAUAACACGGAAUCUCAGAAGAAAUACGGAAAAAAAAAAUUAAUUUGAUAACAGGAUAAUCUAAGUAUAACAUCCAGAAGUUGAAUUUUUCUGAAUCAGUUUUAAUUUUAUGAUGGUUAGAUCCUAAUAUCAUAUAAUAUCGCAUCGAUUUGAAUUUAUAUGGUGUUAAAAAAUUAUAAAUCAUAGACAACUUGACGAUUGUGGAGGAAGAAUUCUUAGUCACCCGUCAUGGACUAUUAACAGUUUUUGAAAUGAAUUAUACUUAUAAAUUUCGAUGAAAAUUUCUUUAAUUAAUUAUCAUAAUUAACAUCCGCAAGCUUGAAUUUUUCUUAAUCAGUUUUAACUUAAAUCCUAAUAUCAUAUCAUAUUGCAUUGAUUUCUAUUCUUGUUAUGUUGAAGAUUAUAAGUCAUAGAAAACUUGAUGAUUGUGGAACAAGAAUUCUUAGAUACUGGUCGAGUACUAUUAACAGUUUUUGAAAUGAAUUAAAUUACUUUAAUUAAUUAUGAUAACUAAAAUCUUGGUUAUUUUAGUUUGAAAAUUGAGUUAUCUUAUAAUUCAAAUUUCAUUUUAGUUUAAAUUGGACAAAUUAAUUCUAGUUGGUUGAUAAUAUACUAAGCAUCGCACUUCCUUUAAUAUAAAUCACAUGUUUGUGAAGCACAUUGCGAUAAAAUCUGAACUAAGAAAUUGAAAAAUAUAUGUUUCGAUAUUACAUAAUUUACAUAUUUUUAUAUGUUUCAAGUGUUUCAUACUUAAUAAUAAACCAAAUUAUCUUGCCCUUUGUCGUCCUCUCUAAACUUAUUAGCUUAUGCCCAAAGCUUGUUUCAUUUGAUGAAAGACCUUUCCAAUAAGAAACAACUCGACCAAAAAAAAAAGAAACAACAAAAGAAUGUUCUAUAUUGUGUGCAAAUGCAUAAUACCUUUAGGAUCCUUCUGUUUGAGGCAGAGAGUAACCAUAAUCGAGGUUUAAUUCGACUUUGAUGGAUGUCGAACUUGAACAGAUCUUCAUAACCCUAAUUCGACCCAAAUUGUAAUCAAACUAAAGCAAAUCAUUUUUCGACGUCAACCGAAACAAAUGAUGUUAUAUAUAUAUUUGUUACAGAUUUCAUGAACUUACGAGUUCCCACAAACAUUACUUGAUUUCGCGGUUUGUUUUGGUUGUCGAAAAGUUGAACCUAAUUGGACCGUGAAAUACAGUUUAGGUCCAUUUGGAAAUGUUUUUUUGUCGGGAAAGAAAUGCCAUUGAACCAAAUUAAACCAUAAAAAAAGUUGAUGUUAAAAUUCGAGUUCAUCUUCAUUUGUGCAGCAAAAGAGUACUUCAUGUUAGCUCCUCUGAAAUCAAAUGUAACCGAAGGAGUUCCUUGCUUAAUCAUGAAUUUUCAGACAGUUUGCUUCCCUUGGAAACAGAGGGUUGUGCUGAAACUAAAAUCAAAUUGUAAUGAUGUCCAUGCAGUUUCGCACAAAUACAUGAAGACUUCGCUUAGUCUUCCAAGAGUGCAGAUAAAGAAAAUUAUCUUGACCAAACACCCUUCAUGUGCUGAUAAUCAAAAACACUACCAUUAACCUCAUUCCUUAAGGAGGUUCAUACUUACAACUACACUAAACUUAACAGAAGUGUCGAUUAGGUACAUGUUAAAACCUGACAAUGUAGAUAAGAACGAGUAGUGUAGUGCCAAGGCAAAAUACGCCUGCCAUUAGAUUAACAAGAAACCCAGAUUUUCAUAUGCUUUAAGAAGGACAUCUAUUUGAAAGAGUGGCUGAAGAUAACUUCAGCAUUUCUGGAAGCUCUUCGAUAGCUGAGCAUAUUUUGGCUCACAACAAGUAGUUUCGAAAGAAUAGUGGCUCGAACAUGUUCUUGUCCAUGUCCCAUGUUCAAAUUAGCCUUGAUAAUCAUCUUCUCCAGCGCAAGUGCAUCACCAAGAAGAAACUUGAUCAGGGCAAGCAGACGUUCCAACCCAAAAUUAUCAAUGGUGAUCUCAACUCUCUUGAGAUGUUUCGCCAAACAUUGAAAGUUCUCCUUCCGUGAACACAAAAAAUCUUCUUCAUCACAGUUAAAACUUUCUUUCGAUUCUUCGUCAAGACUAUACUGCACAUAGAUACCUCAUUUAAGAAACUUACUUCACAUCACAUGCGGAUCCAUAGAAAAUAGAAUUUGUUGCCUUACCAAAAUUUCAAAAAACAAAAACAUUUCAUUUGUCCACGGUAGGUGCUAGUUAGUUUUACUUUAUUUUAAGUACUAAAGAAUUUGAACUUUUAAACUCAUAUACACAAUAAAACUAUCUUUCUUUCUAGGUGCUUAUCGCUAAUUUGUUAGUUCAAGGUCCAAACCCUACAUGGCAGCAAAAGAAUCUCCAGUAUAACACUGCAAUUACUUUUGGACAUGAACUGAAACGGUCUAAAUUGGCCUUGCAAAAAAGUGGAGUAGACUAACAGACUCAUGACCAAAUUUCAUUUGCUGGAACAAAUAAGAGUUUGACAUUUAUCAUUUUUACAUGCUUCUAAAGUUUUAACUCACUUUUUAAACAUUCAUGCAAAGAGGAAGCCAGCACAAGAAGCGAACUUAAAAUAAUAUAGCAAAGGAACAAACCAUUGAUAGGGGGAGGCCAGUCAGGCAUAUGACUAAUUUUUCCAGGCACUGUGAAAUUCGUAGCAUGUAUGCUAUCCCAAAAAGGUCCCACUGAAUAAUGUCUACAUGUAGAGUCAGACUCUGACAUAUUGACAAUGGCGCUGGCACUCCUUCCAUCUCCAAAAGGGAAAGUUUCUAAGCACAUUGAGCAAGCAACAUAGAAAAUUUUGAUUAUAAUAUUUCCUGUUCAACAUGAAUAAAGAAUGACAAAAAUUGUAGUCCAUCCGGAUUUUGACCCUGUCUUCCGGUUAGGAAAAGACCAAUAAGGAUACUACAAGUAGAAAUGAACCGGUGAAUCUCUUUAAGAAUCAAGAAUAUUAAUGUAUACUUCUCGUGUAAAAUUUGUGAUCUUUGAAGGAUCUAAAAAUUCUAAUAGUUGGUCUCAGGAGACACUGAACCUCGUUAUUGACUAAAGUUUGCAAGUGAAUCCGGCCAUUGUCAAUGUAAAAUAUUCUGAGAAUACUAUGUAAUAUAUAUUAUUGAACAACAGCCAUAUGUGACGAGAGUGCGAUCUUGUUCUACCAACCUAAGAUGACUGGGUUCAUUACUCUAUCAUAUAUUCAAAUAAAUGAAUUUUCUCCAUAAACUGAAAGAAUGAAAUGAAAAGGUAACCAUUUCAAAUAAUCUCUUUACUUAUUUUUCUUGUGAAAAUCAAGAGUUUGCAAUGCUACAUUGAUUAGCAUCCAUAAUAAUUAGCAAUAUCUAGUGGCAUUCAUUGUUCCCAAUUGAGUGAUCCCAAAUAUAUUAUUGGAAAUUAAACAGAGGGAAGAAGCUCCAAGGUUCACUAUGCGUUGUCAUCUUUAUAAGUUGAAACGCGAAAUUAUUAAUCAUCCUAUCUGCCAGCAAUUAAUUAUGCAUGUUUUCACAAUAAUUCCCCAUGAUGAAAGACGAGAACCACAGAGAGCUGAGGUUACUCGAUCGGCACAACAAAAACCACUAAAUAAGUGCUAAUCACAUACACGAUUCAACACGAGUACGUCUUAUAAAAUGGUAAAAAAUAUGGAGCUUGUACCUGAAAACACCAAGCCCCAAUGGUGAUUGUAGUAACUCCGCACAGCUUCUGAAAGGUUUCCUUCAACAUGUGGCUGCACAUCAUCUCGUCACUAGGCAAAUCGGUAAGAACUCGAAUCGAAAAAUCUAACUUGGCUUCCACCAAAGAAGAUACAUCGCCAAGUCUUAGCAUGGCAUGAGGUUGCCAAUCCCCUGAUAUUCGCAGCGACAGCAAAUGCGGGGCCCAAAUUUUCUGAAUGUUAGAGUCGCAUAAGUUACAAAGUACCAACUCUUUCACACUUGUCGAAUCUAUCAUAAUGUUCUUCACGCCCCAACAACCCCACAAUUCAAGGGACUCUAGAACAGGGCAUCCCCUGAAAAUUCCCUCGAGGAUAUCAUCGCUCAACCUUGAAAUUGCGAUCACCAAGAUCUUAAGACAAGGCCACCUAAUAGUCCUACCCAACGAGAAACAGCACACCCAGACUUCAAGGCGCACCAACCAACUCCAGCAAUACAAGAACCGCGGCAGUAUAUAAAGCGUCGGCGGCUUAGUAGUCGGCACUAGCAGCAGGCUGAGGUCCUCCGCUCGGCGCCCCUCUGCGAAGCGUAGCCAGAGGUCGAACUUGGGGCGGUAGGCCUUCUCGUACUUGAAGCCGAUGACGUGGAACCUCUUCACCGUGGGGGAGAUGCACUGUAUCAGGACGCUGUCGAUGAGGGACGAGAAGUCCAGGGUACUGCGAAGCCGGGCUACAAUCUCUCCAUUGAAGACCAGGUCCGUGGCGGUAGUCCAAGUGGGCCGCCAGCGCUUGGAGAGGACGCUGGUCCUGACGACGUCUUGGAGGGGCAGAAACGAGAAGAUGCGG
RNAcentral lists this long non-coding RNA (13363 nucleotides) under Eucalyptus grandis. RNAcentral describes it as "long non-coding RNA (EGRA_LNC003264)". The record is from RNAcentral. Lineage: Eukaryota; Viridiplantae; Streptophyta; Magnoliopsida; Myrtales; Myrtaceae.